RNAcentral lists this ribosomal RNA (476 nucleotides) under Mycobacterium kumamotonense. Its description in RNAcentral is "Mycolicibacter kumamotonensis bacterial SSU rRNA". It matches the Rfam family "Bacterial small subunit ribosomal RNA", at positions 28 to 505 of the family's 1533-position model. The record is from RNAcentral. Lineage: Bacteria; Bacillati; Actinomycetota; Actinomycetes; Mycobacteriales; Mycobacteriaceae.
GACGAACGCUGGCGGCGUGCUUAACACAUGCAAGUCGAACGGAAAGGCCCUUUCGGGGGUACUCGAGUGGCGAACGGGUGAGUAACACGUGGGUGAUCUGCCCUGCACUCUGGGAUAAGCCUGGGAAACUGGGUCUAAUACUGGAUAGGACCAUGGGAUGCAUGUUCUGUGGUGGAAAGCUUUUGCGGUGUGGGAUGGGCCCGCGGCCUAUCAGCUUGUUGGUGGGGUGAUGGCCUACCAAGGCGACGACGGGUAGCCGGCCUGAGAGGGUGUCCGGCCACACUGGGACUGAGAUACGGCCCAGACUCCUACGGGAGGCAGCAGUGGGGAAUAUUGCACAAUGGGCGCAAGCCUGAUGCAGCGACGCCGCGUGGGGGAUGACGGCCUUCGGGUUGUAAACCUCUUUCAGUAUCGGCGAAGCUUGCGGGUUUUCUCGCAGGUGACGGUAGGUACAGAAGAAGCACCGGCCAACUACG